CAAUUAGAGAACAUGUAAACAUGAACAUGUACUUUUUUUUUGGUUUGUGUAUUUGAUUAAGCCAAGCCUGGGACAGAUGGCAUCUAAACUGGAGUAAUAUGGUGUAAACAAUCCCCUUGCCCUUUCUUGUAUGCCCUUCCCUUUCUCUAGAACUUCUUCUCAGAGUUCUAACUUAGCUUCUGAUGUAGCUGACAGAAUUUCUUCUCUCUCGUUCCCACCACAGUAUAUAUCUGUUGAAUUGUUGAACGGGAUUAUGUCAGAAGCAUUAAUUGGAAAUCAUCACUCUGUAGAGAACAACAAAAACACAAAAUCUCAUGACCAAGGAAGAGCCAAAGAGCUUGUCUGGAUUUCUUGACCUCACCUCUCAGAAUGUUGACAAUGAACUACAACGAAAACACAACCAUGGCAACAAAUUACAUAUUUGUUGAAUCAGGCCAAGACACAGAAAUAUACUGUAUGCCAAAAUGUAAAGGUGACAUGAGUGAUCAAAAGAGAGGGAAAGUGAAAGGUCAAGGGAGAAACUCUCAGCAUGUAGGUACGGAACCAUUUCCAUGAGGUCAGCUACAUUCCAAAGCGGCUGCGGCACUGGAUGGGGAGCUGUCGGGGCAUGAUGCACAGCCCAAGACAGUCUUUGAAGGUGAGGAAUCUGAGGCACACAGAGACGAAAAACUGUCCAGGCAGUUGAGUCAGAAUUCAAAUGUUGGCUGUCUUCGUCUGGAACCCACACUUUCUACCUUCCUCUUGUGUUAUGGCUGGAUGUAUGACCUUGUCAUGUACGUAAAACAUCCGCAGACUAACUGGAAAAGGACUUUACCUCAGCCAAAGUGAGUGCAUUGCAGAAUAAGUGCAGAGAGCUUACCUUGGUUUUUAAAGAUAUUCCAAUCCGUUUUAAUUGGGGAUCUCAUUGCAAUGUGCUCCUAUGUCUUGAGACAGGGCCUUCAAGAGGAUCAGUAUUUCCAGAAUGUUGGUAUUAGCAUCCAUUUUUUGCUGGCUAGAUAUUUUCCAACAGAGGAUGUGACUCUCAUCAUUACAGCAGAGGAAUACAUUUACCAAAGUCAAGGAAGUCAUUUGCCAUCCGGAUGGCCCAAGAAGCAUACAUAUUUAUCAUUGAGCCUUGGAAGAACUCUCUAUUAUAAAAAGAUUGGCUAAUUUCUGAAAACCACUCCUUCAAUAAGGACCCAGGUUAUGUGCCAUGGUAUCUGUAGCUUUCUGGCUGGGUCAGGGUGACCUGCACACAACCCUGGCAGGAUGCCCUUGGACAGAGUAUUUGCAUCCCUUUGGUGUGCCAAUGUAUCAAGCAUUCACAGGUCACAUUGAAACACUAAAGUACGAGCUGCGCAAAGAGGUCAUCAGUAGGCAUUGUUUCUCCAGAGGGGAAUAAUCUUACAACUGUUAUGAAGGGUCAAAGGUAACUUUCAUUUUGAGAUGCUAAUUACUCCAAGAAUUUGAUGCAGGAGACAGCUGGUUAAAAUGAAUGAGCGCUGCAGUGUUGAAGGGGAAAAACAAAUAGAGGGUUAUAAUAAAAGUGCAAUAUGCAACAUAGUAAGUAUGCAGAAAAUAAGGGACAAUAUUGUUAAUAAACAUCCGUUAGUCAAUAUGAUCUUUGUAGAGCUGGGCUCUUUAUUAUUAUACCUGCUAAUCACAUGCAAUUAAAUUUAAAUUUAAGGUGGUUAAGGUUAGAAAUUCAGGUCCUCAGCCACAUAGGCCACACACAAAGUGUUCAAUAGCCACACGUGGCCAUUGACUACCAUAUUGGAGAGCCCAGAUAUAGAACAUUUUCAUUACCACAGAAAUUUCUAUAGGACACCAAUGACCUGGCGUGUUUUGCUAUUGGAGGGAUUUUAGACUUAGUGCUUUUAUAUAGGAAACAUUAUUUUUUUUUUUUUUUUUUUUUUUUUUUGAGAUGGAGUCUUGCUCUGUCGCCCAGGCUGGGGUGCAGUGGCCGGAUCUCAGCUCACUGCAACCUCCAUCUCCCGGGUUUACGCCAUUCUCCUGCCUCAGCCUCCUGAGUAGCUGGGACUACAGGCGCCCGCCACCUCGCCCGGCUAGUUUUUUGUAUUUUUUAGUAGAGAUGGGGUUUCACCGUGUUAGCCAGGAUGGUCUCGAUAUCCUGACCUCGUGAUCCACCCGUCUCGGCCUCCCAAAGUGCUAGGAUUACAGGCUUGAGCCACCGCGCCCGGCCAGGAAACAUUAUUUAAAAAAAAAAAAAAAAAAACCGCCAUCCCAUGGAACGCUUCUCUCAUUCAGUUCUGUAGUAAGGGUUGCCCUAAAUUCACUUAUGCCCUAGAAAAUUCACUUAUCAUGAAUGAAAAAACUGUUACUACUAUUAAUAGUAUUUUUGUCCUGGUGAAUAUUUACAUUGUACCACAUACUGUGCUACAUGCUUUAUACAUAUUGUGUCAUUUAAUUCUUACCUUAGAGACUAAGAUCUAUCUGUGAAUUACUUUUAGAUAAAUCAGGUUGAGAGAAAAUAAAAACUGACCAUAGAUCACAAUUAAGUAAAUAUAUUUAAACCUAAGGCAAUUAUUGCUCUUUGAGUGUGUGUGUGUGUGUGUGUGUGUGUGUGUGUAACUGGCAGCCCAGUGUUACUGAGAUAACUACACAGAAUUAAGCAAUAAACUCUGCCAGAGCCUGGGGAUAUGAGGACAAGAAUACAGAUGAUUAUCAGAGACAAGGGAAAGAAAGAGAAAGUGAGAGGUAUUUGAGGAUUCACUAAAGAGGCUGAGAUAUAGUAGAAAUAGUUGAGGAGCCUCAGAAAUUUCAUUGUAAGAUCCAGGCAAGCAUGAAGAAAGGCUGCACUUAAGAGAUUUGUGGGUUCCCGGGCUAACUACAGAAAAGAGGAUUAGGGCAGCAAGACUGAUGUUGAAACCACUAAAUGGUCAUAUUAACAUCCUAGCAUCCUUCCAAGAUCAAGUUGGAUCCAGUGUAUAGAUGAAAGGAUUUAAGAACAUGAGGUUGGAUGUGGAUUGCUGUUUUCAAAGACUUGGACAAAAGAAAAGUCACAGCCUCUUAAUUUCUCUCAGUGAACUUCAGCUUAGCCAUUAAAUUUCAGAGGAAGCAGAUGGCACACAUUCAAUGUUCUGGGAUAUGACUGUACACAGUCAGACUAAGAAAAGGUCACAAAGAAAGAAAAAAAUAUAAGGAAUUGCUGAGUGUUGUAUAUCAAGAUGGUUGGUAAUGAAAAUACCCUGUCCUACUCAGUUUAUAGUAAAUUGCUUCUGUAUAAUUUAUUAAAAUCUCAGAACAUUAAGGAUUGCCAAGUCUUGAUUUAUUGCAGAAAAAUUUGCCAUGGUGUUUCCAUUUAGAAACUUAUUUCUUAACUUACACAAAGUAAAAAAAAAAAAAAAAAAAAACUCUUUAGCACCUGGUAUUAUUAGUGAGGUAUAACUGGGGUGACAAUAUAAUUUAUUGUCUAAAUAGAGACACUUUUGAGAAUGAAUGUAAUUAUUUAUAAUUACAGCAAAACCACAGGUGUAAUCCAGAACUGUCCAAGGCAAACCAGGGCAAACCAACAACCUAGGUAUAGACCACAGCUGGAUGCAAUUGGAUUCAAGCCAUUUUCCCAGUCCAGCUGCCGAAUAUGACUCAAAGGCUACUCUGCUGUCAGCUGAUUUACAAGCUGAUUGAAAUAAUGAUGCAAAGGCACAAUGAGGAAGAUGUCCAAUGCCCAUUUUAGGUAAAAAUAACUAGUGUAAAGAAAAAUACCAUUGGUCAUUGUUGUUGAGUUUUUAUUUUUAAAGAAACAGUGACUUGAUAAAAUACAACCAAGAAAAGAGAGUCUAAUAAGCAAUCUCUACUCAGCAUAGGAAGGCA
This is a long non-coding RNA of Macaca mulatta (Rhesus monkey), 3813 nucleotides long. Lineage: Eukaryota; Metazoa; Chordata; Mammalia; Primates; Cercopithecidae. The record is from Ensembl.